This 253-nucleotide ribosomal RNA is filed under the name uncultured bacterium. RNAcentral describes it as "partial 16S ribosomal RNA". It matches the Rfam family "Bacterial small subunit ribosomal RNA", at positions 524 to 776 of the family's 1533-position model. The record is from RNAcentral.
UACGUAGGGUGCGAGCGUUAAUCGGAAUUACUGGGCGUAAAGUGUGCGCAGGCGGCCGAGCAAGUCGAGUGUGAAAGCCCCGAGCUUAACUUGGGAAUUGCGCUCGAAACUACUUGGCUGGAGUGUGGCAGAGGAAGGUGGAAUUCCCAGUGUAGCGGUGAAAUGCGUAGAGAUUGGGAAGAACAUCGGUGGCGAAAGCGCUCUACUGGACCUCAUCUGACACUCAGGGACGAAAGCUAGGGGAGCGAAUGGG